This 1701-nucleotide ribosomal RNA is filed under the name Triticum aestivum (bread wheat). RNAcentral's name for it is "partial small subunit ribosomal RNA". The record is from RNAcentral. Lineage: Eukaryota; Viridiplantae; Streptophyta; Magnoliopsida; Poales; Poaceae.
AUGGAGGAAUCCUUCACGGCCCCCUCCGUCGACCCACCCGCCGUCGAUCCCGCCUCCGUCGACUCCCCCGCCGUCGAUCCGGCCUCCGUUGACUCCCCCGCCGNNNNNNNNNNNNNNNNNNNNNNNNNNNNNNNNNNNNNNNNCUUCUACCCCCCCGCAGUCGACCCCGCCGUCGCCAACCCAUCCCGCUACCCCUCCUGGGUCCUCCUCGACAGCAGAGCCUACUUCGCCGACCGCGUCAACGCCACCACCGUGAAGGCCACGACGAGCACGGGCCACGAAUUCAAGGUCACCUUUUGUCUCGCCGACCCGCCCGCCGUCUCCUACUUCUGCGUCUACUGCCCCGAAGGUUGUUACACCACGGAGCCCCGCGUCGUCUCCUCCGCCAAUGACCUCGUCCUCCUCUGCUUCGCCUUCAGCUCCGGCCCACGGAGCACAGAAAAAGACUCCCAUCUCGAGUACUUUGUCUACAAGGCUGCCUCCGGCGGCAAGCCCACCAUCAGAUCUGUUCCGUGUCCCCCUCGAGCCUACAGGCACUCAUGGCACGCUGCCAUCGUGCCCGUCAAGGGCGACAAUUUCUUGGUCGCUGAUCUUUCCCCCAAUGGGGACCCUGGGCACUACAACCUGCACAUCUUCUCGUCGGAGACAAAUGAGUGGAGCACCAAACACGUGCAGCUGCAGACCGACCCGCAUGUCCUGCCACUGGAGCUGCCAAUCCUAACUGACAAGGUGAUCUUGCUCGGAAGAAGCACGGUAGGAUGGGUCGACCUCUGGCGCGGCAUUGUCGUCUGCAAUUUGCUUGAAAAGGAGCCUGUUCCCCGUUUCAUCCCGCUGCCCAAGGCCGAAUUCGACCUGCACCGGAAAAGCCAAGCACGGCAAGUGCGGGACGUCAUUGGCUUCACCGAUGGUUACAUCAACUUCAUUGAGAUUGAACACUGUGUCAGAUGGUUCCCCGUUGUCAGAAAGAGCAAUUUGAAGACGGCCAUGACUUUUGAUGUUGCAGAUACCAUCGAUGAUGCAGAGCUCCUCAGUCUUGAUGAUAUGGACGACGUUACAGAUGACAAACCUGUGCAGCAUGUACCCGCUGGCUGGAAGAUCCGGACAAUGUUUAGGAACAUUGAUUGGAACUAUUGGGAAAGUAGUCACAUUCUUCAUGUUGACGACAUAUCAGCCUCCCCACCUGAACCCUCUGUGCUGCAAUCUCAUCUAUGGAAUGAUACAGACAAGAAAUGGACAUUGGGAAAACUGAAGUGUACAAGCUUCCCGACCUUUGGUUUUUACGGCGGUGAUGUUGUCUACCUCGUGUCUAAGGUGGAGUCUCAGGAUAAUGAUGCAUUGCUUGUUGGUGUUGAUAUUCGAAAAAUGAAGGUGGAAUCCAUCAAAGCAUAUGGCUGCGGGAGAUCCAUUUCUUUUGGUCCCAUUCCGGUUGUUCGUUUUAAAAUUGGAAGGAAGCAGGAAGUCAUCGAACCAUCUUGUGGCGGGAGAUCCACUUCUUUUGAUGCCAUUUCAUGUGCAUUCUCAAAAUAUCUGAAUACCGCUCCAAGUCCAAGGCCGUGUAAUGGGGAAGCUGCUCAGAAUGGUGUGCUGAAUGAUCAUCUUUCAUCGAGGGAUACUGUUCCAAACAGUGUGCAGCCCCAGCAAAACAUGUGGAAUGAUGGUGGCUGCAAUGGGGGUUGGAGUGAAUAUGGUUAUAGCGUGUAG